GAUUAAGUUAUUAAGGGCGCACGGUGGAUGCCUUGGCACUAGAAGCCGAUGAAGGACGUUACUAACGACGAUAUGCUUUGGGGAGCUGUAAGUAAGCUUUGAUCCAGAGAUUUCCGAAUGGGGAAACCCAGCAUGAGUUAUGUCAUGUUAUCGAUAUGUGAAUACAUAGCAUAUCAGAAGGCACACCCGGAGAACUGAAACAUCUUAGUACCCGGAGGAAGAGAAAGAAAAUUCGAUUCCCUUAGUAGCGGCGAGCGAAACGGGAAGAGCCCAAACCAACAAGCUUGCUUGUUGGGGUUGUAGGACACUCUAUACGGAGUUACAAAGGACGACAUUAGACGAAUCAUCUGGAAAGAUGAAUCAAAGAAGGUAAUAAUCCUGUAGUCGAAAAUGUUGUCUCUCUUGAGUGGAUCCUGAGUACGACGGAGCACGUGAAAUUCCGUCGGAAUCUGGGAGGACCAUCUCCUAAGGCUAAAUACUCUCUAGUGACCGAUAGUGAACCAGUACCGUGAGGGAAAGGUGAAAAGCACCCCGGAAGGGGAGUGAAAUAGAACCUGAAACCGUGUGCUUACAAGUAGUCAGAGCCCGUUAAUGGGUGAUGGCGUGCCUUUUGUAGAAUGAACCGGCGAGUUACGAUUUGAUGCAAGGUUAAGCAGUAAAUGUGGAGCCGUAGCGAAAGCGAGUCUGAAUAGGGCGUUUAGUAUUUGGUCGUAGACCCGAAACCAGGUGAUCUACCCUUGGUCAGGUUGAAGUUCAGGUAACACUGAAUGGAGGACCGAACCGACUUACGUUGAAAAGUGAGCGGAUGAACUGAGGGUAGCGGAGAAAUUCCAAUCGAACCUGGAGAUAGCUGGUUCUCUCCGAAAUAGCUUUAGGGCUAGCCUCAAGUGAUGAUUAUUGGAGGUAGAGCACUGUUUGGACGAGGGGCCCCUCUCGGGUUACCGAAUUCAGACAAACUCCGAAUGCCAAUUAAUUUAACUUGGGAGUCAGAACAUGGGUGAUAAGGUCCGUGUUCGAAAGGGAAACAGCCCAGACCACCAGCUAAGGUCCCAAAAUAUAUGUUAAGUGGAAAAGGAUGUGGCGUUGCCCAGACAACUAGGAUGUUGGCUUAGAAGCAGCCAUCAUUUAAAG
RNAcentral lists this ribosomal RNA (1131 nucleotides) under Staphylococcus aureus. RNAcentral's name for it is "partial 23S ribosomal RNA". It matches the Rfam family "Bacterial large subunit ribosomal RNA", at positions 1 to 1128 of the family's 2925-position model. The record is from RNAcentral. Lineage: Bacteria; Bacillati; Bacillota; Bacilli; Caryophanales; Staphylococcaceae.